GCCGGGUGCGGUGGCGCGUGUCUGUAAUCCAAGCUACUGGGAGGCUGAAGCUGGCGGAUCGUUUGAGCUCAGGAGCUCUGAGCUGCAGUGGACUAUGUCGAUCGGGUGUCCGCACUAAGUUCGGUAUCGAUAUGGAGCUUCUGGGGGAGCCCGGGACCACCAGGUCGCCUAAGGAGGGGUGCAUCGGCCCAGGUCGGUAACGGAGCAGGUCAAAGCCCCCGUGCCGCUCAGUAGUGGGAUCGCGCCUGUGAAUAGACGCUGUAGUGCAGCCUGAGUAAUACAGCGGGACCCAGUCUUUU
This 299-nucleotide signal recognition particle RNA is filed under the name Betta splendens (Siamese fighting fish). RNAcentral describes it as "Metazoan signal recognition particle RNA (ENSBSLG00000020819.1)". It matches the Rfam family "Metazoan signal recognition particle RNA". From Rfam's summary of the family: The signal recognition particle (SRP) is a universally conserved ribonucleoprotein. Lineage: Eukaryota; Metazoa; Chordata; Actinopteri; Anabantiformes; Osphronemidae. The record is from Rfam by way of RNAcentral.